UGGGGAAUAUUGCACAAUGGGGGAGACCCUGAUGCAGCGACGCCGCGUGGGUGAAGGAGUAUUUCGGUAUGUAAAGCCCUAUCAGCAGGGAAGACAAUGACGGUACCUGACUAAGAAGCCCCGGCUAACUACGUGCCAGCAGCCGCGGUAAUACGGAGGAUGCGAGCGUUAUCCGGAUUUAUUGGGUUUAAAGGGUGCGUAGGCGGAAUGUCAAGUCAGCGGUCAAAUCGCGGGGCUCAACCUCGCUUCGCCCGUUGAAACUGGUGUUCUUGAGUGGGCGAGAAGUAUGCGGAAUGCGUGGUGUAGCGGUGAAAUGCAUAGAUAUCACGCAGAACUCCGAUUGCGAAGGCAGCAUACCCGGCGCCCAACUGACGCUGAAGCACGAAAAGCGUGGGUAUCGAACAGGAUUAGAUACC
Molecule: ribosomal RNA, 416 nt
Filed under: uncultured bacterium
Lineage: Bacteria
Description: bacterial SSU rRNA
Rfam family: Bacterial small subunit ribosomal RNA
Source: RNAcentral